AUGGGUCUGAUUUGUUUUGUUUGCCAGACUACUUUUGGGAGUACAAACUUGCUUGUGAGACAUAUGCGAUUGAUUCAUGGAUUUCACCCUGGUAAAUCACUUCGCCUAAAGUGUGGUCAGGCAGGGUGCUGCCAUUUUUUUGGUACCUUUGCAGGCUUAAGGAAACAUUUAAACACGCGACAUGCUCAAGAAAUUGCAGAGCAUGGGGUCAGAAGUCACACUGUAGCCUGUGAUAAUGUUCCAGAUAAUGUUCUGUCCCAUGAUGUUGAAGCAGCUGGUAGCUCCCAAGACAGUAGCUCUCAAGACCUAUCAGGGACCAACAGAAGCAUUCGUGAUAUGUGUGGUUCUGCUAUUGCACAGCUUCAAGUUUCUGGUGUUGGCCAGUCUUCAUUGAAUAGUUUUGUUCUGUCCAUGGAGGAAGUGGCACUGGAGAUACAGAGUCAGGCUAAAGAAGCAGCCUUAAAAUGUGUGCAUUCACAGGAUACUAGUACAAAAGCUAAAAUUGAGCAAAGUUUUAAACAACUUGAAAAUCCUUUUACAUCAUUGAAUUCAGAUUCGAAGCGAAGCCUUUAUUUUAAAGAAAAAUAUAAAACUAUUGAGCCAGUGGAGAAAGUACUUGGUGUCAGAUUUGAGAACAGAAGAAAUAGAUGUACUGGAACUUAUGAUCAGGUAGUUGUUACAGAUAAAUUUGCUUAUGUUCCAAUUUUACAAACUCUGCAGUCAAUUCUAAGUAAUCCACAUCUUAGUGAUAUCUUUACAUCUAGUCACACUCCAAAUGAUGGUGUAUAUUGUGAUAUAAAAGAUGGGUUGUAUAUGAAAAGGCAUCCUCUUUUUUCAAGCAAAAAUUUGGCAUUGCAAAUUCAAUUAUUUUAUGAUGAAUUCGAGACCGCUAAUCCUCUUGGAUCCAAAAAAGGUGUCCAUAAAUUGGGAGGUAUAUACUUUACAUUGAGAAAUUUUCCACCAAAGUUAAAUUCAUGUUUAGUCAACAUACAUUUGUGUGCACUUUUUCAUGCCCAAGACAUUAAAACCUAUGGAUUUGACACUAUACUUGAGCCAAUAAUCAAUGACUUGAAAGUGCUGGAAACUGAUGGGAUUGAAGUUCCUGUGUUCAAAAGUCCUGUUCAUGGCAGCAUUGUACAAGUAACAGGGGAUAAUCUUGGUUUACAUGGACUGUUUGGGUUAGUAGAAUCAUUCAGUGCUCGGAAUUGUUGUCGAUUUUGUGUCAUAGACAAAAGUGAUUUUCAGACGGUUUUCUGUGAAGAUGACCAGAGUGUAUUAUUUCGAACAAAAGACAUGCAUGAAAAGCAUUGCCAUACUCUACAAACAAAUCCACAGCUACCUCAUGUAUGUGGUGUUAAGCGUUCAUGUUCAUUGAAUUCUCUGAAAUAUUUUCACACAAUUGAUAAUUUUUCUGUUGACAUAAUGCAUGAUAUUCUUGAAGGAGUUGCACAGUUUUAA
This 1458-nucleotide long non-coding RNA is filed under the name Betta splendens (Siamese fighting fish). Its description in RNAcentral is "lncRNA (ENSBSLG00000024654.1)". The record is from RNAcentral. Lineage: Eukaryota; Metazoa; Chordata; Actinopteri; Anabantiformes; Osphronemidae.